Molecule: transfer RNA, 62 nt
Filed under: Bactrurus brachycaudus
Lineage: Eukaryota; Metazoa; Arthropoda; Malacostraca; Amphipoda; Crangonyctidae
Description: tRNA-Ile
Source: RNAcentral
AACAAAAUGCCUGAUUUAAUGGGGUCAUCUUGAUGAGAUGGAAUAUAUUAAUAUUUUUGUUU